This 358-nucleotide unclassified non-coding RNA is filed under the name soil metagenome. RNAcentral's name for it is "partial contains 5.8S ribosomal RNA, internal transcribed spacer 2, and large subunit ribosomal RNA". The stretch from base 1 to 120 matches the Rfam family "5.8S ribosomal RNA", at positions 35 to 154 of the family's 154-position model. The record is from RNAcentral.
GAUGAAGAACGUAGCGAAAUGCGAAAAGUAAUGUGAAUUGCAGAAUUCAGUGAAUCAUCGAAUCUUUGAACGCACAUUGCGCCCGUCAGUAUUCUGGCGGGCAUGCCUGUUCGAGCGUCAUUACGCCCCUCAAGUCCCCUGUGGACUUGGUGUUGGGGAUCGGCGAGGCUGGUUUUCCAGCACAGCCGUCCCUUAAAUUAAUUGGCGGUCUCGCCGUGGCCCUCCUCUGCGCAGUAGUAAAACACUCGCAACAGGAGCACGGCGCGGUCCACUGCCGUAAAACCCCCCAACUUUUUAUAGUUGACCUCGAAUCAGGUAGGACUACCCGCUGAACUUAAGCAUAUCAAUAAGCGGAGGA